Molecule: small RNA, 582 nt
Filed under: Pan troglodytes (chimpanzee)
Lineage: Eukaryota; Metazoa; Chordata; Mammalia; Primates; Hominidae
Description: retained intron
Source: RNAcentral
AAUUCUGGGCUUCUUGCUAGAGUGGUAGUAUGUUAGUGCACUGUACUUUAAGGGCUUAAAAGCUGAAUAUAUAGAACUUAUCAGGGCUGUUCAAAUACAGCCAAAAUAGGAAUGUUCCUUUCAACUGUAACUACUUAAUUCUGCUUCAUUCAAGCUAACAAUUGCAUGUAAACAUUCUUACUUUGUUUUAAUUUCAAGCAACACAACUCAGAACAUGCGCGACUGCAAGUUCCUACAUCACAAGUAAGAAGUAGAUCAACCUCAAGGGGAGAUGUGAAUGAUCAGGAUGCAAUCCAGGAGAAAUUUUACCCACCACGUUUCAUUCAAGUGCCAGAGAACAUGUCGAUUGAUGAAGGAAGAUUCUGCAGAAUGGACUUCAAAGUGAGUGGACUGCCAGCUCCUGAUGUGUCAUGGUAUCUAAAUGGAAGACCAGUUCAAUCAGAUGAUUUGCACAAAAUGAUAGUGUCUGAGAAGGGUCUUCAUUCACUCAUCUUUGAAGUAGUCAGAGCUUCAGAUGCAGGGGCUUAUGCAUGUGUUGCCAAGAAUAGAGCAGGAGAAGCCACCUUCACUGUGCAGCUGGAU